GAUGAACGCUGGCGGCGUGCCUAACACAUGCAAGUCGAGCGAUUCUCUUCGGAGAAGAGCGGCGGACGGGUGAGUAACGCGUGGGUAACCUGCCCUGUACACACGGAUAACAUACCGAAAGGUAUGCUAAUACGAGAUAAUAUGCUUUUAUCGCAUGGUAGAAGUAUCAAAGCUUUUGCGGUACAGGAUGGACCCGCGUCUGAUUAGCUAGUUGGUAAGGUAACGGCUUACCAAGGCGACGAUCAGUAGCCGACCUGAGAGGGUGAUCGGCCACAUUGGAACUGAGACACGGUCCAAACUCCUACGGGAGGCAGCAGUGGGGAAUAUUGCACAAUGGGCGAAAAGCCUGAUGCAGCAACGCCGCGUGAGCGAUGAAAGGCCUUGGGUCGUAAAGACUCUGUCCUCAAGAAGAUAAUGACGGUACUU
RNAcentral lists this ribosomal RNA (426 nucleotides) under uncultured bacterium. Its description in RNAcentral is "bacterial SSU rRNA". It matches the Rfam family "Bacterial small subunit ribosomal RNA", at positions 28 to 480 of the family's 1533-position model. The record is from RNAcentral.